GCGCUGCCUUUGAGAUUGGACAGUAGAUUGAGAGAUGAGAGCGAGAGACAGGAGUGGGAUCAGGAAACUACAGCAGGUUAGUAUGAAGCCUGGGUCCCCAAGAGCUGUAGAGCAGUCAUGGCCCCAGUCACAGGUUUCCUAACUUGUAUGUCAGUGCUCACAGGAUUUCACUUUUAUUGCAUCGAGUUACUACUAUGAGGCCUUUAUUUUCAAUAUAGUAUUUCUUAAGUAUGUUUGUUCAUAAGUGGAAACUACUUGUCAACUCAGAAACAAUUAGGCCGCUUUAGUGAGGUGAUUCAUGAUAUCAUUUAACACUGAAAGAGCAUAUUGCAGCAUUUCAAGGUAACCAUUUGGUAUUAAGUGUAUUUAUAUAAAAAUAUAUUAAAAAUACCCAUUCCUACCUCCCUCCAUUUUGAACACUACAGUAAUCUAUGUCAAGCUGGGUAGAGCAUCACAUUAUCCAAGCAAUUUGAAGUCGUUUUAGUGCAAUACUUGUUUGAAUCAUGAAUUUCUGAGCUAAAGAAAAAAACAAACACCCAUGGAUUUUGGAAUGAACAAACCAUUUUUAAUCAGAAGUAAACAAAAACAGCUUGGCAUAUUUCAUGAAUCACAAAAUUGUUUAUAGAAGUGCCAUUUUACCCAAGAAGCUUACCGACAGUCACUCAGAAGUUCUCCACGAUGGCAGGACACUCCAGACUCCUGGACACAUGGAGAUAUCGAAACACAUAAAAAAAGUAGUUUAAUGUCAUUAAAAUAUUUAAGCAGCAGUGAAUCGUAAGAAACAGAACUUCCAUACAAACAUUUCACAUCUACCUACAAUAGUAGGCUACAGGUACGAUCAAACUUGACAAAAUAAAGUGAUAGAAAAUCUUGUCUGCAGUAUCAUACAAGAGCAUCAAACAGCUUUAUACAUGCUCACACCUGCUACUGCCAGAGUCAGCGUCUUUGCUGCCCCUGUUAUCUAGGUCUGACUGGACAAACUGCAGUUUACAACCAAACAAGUUUGGCAACACUGAAGCUUUUGUCCCAGACCAAAUAAGACAAGACUAAUAAGUUAAGACACUUACCAGCUAUUCCAAUUAGUCUUCAAACCAUCUACAGCCGUUUUCCAUCAGCUGUGUGCUUCAUUAUCAGCCCUUUAACAGAUAAUGAGAAAUGGCUCACUACCACAGCAAAGACUUGUUCGUUUUCAAACCAGUUUUGCCCGAAGUGCCCAAUUAGUGCCGAGAGGGGUCCUCUAUUGCAAGAGUUACAAAUAUCUAUAGAUACUAAUCAUGCGUUCAAGCAGCUGGGAAUUGGGGUCUAGUUAGCCAGAAGGUUAACGUUACCCACACAAAAGUAAAUAGUCAAGUAUCGU
This is a long non-coding RNA of Clupea harengus (Atlantic herring), 1357 nucleotides long. The record is from Ensembl. NCBI's taxonomy places the organism in Eukaryota, Metazoa, Chordata, Actinopteri, Clupeiformes, Clupeidae.